GCCGGGAUGCUGGAAUUGGUAGACAGGCUGCCUUGAGGAGGCAGUGCUCUUAAAAAAGGCGUGCAGGUUCGAGUCCUGUUCCCGGCACAA
This 90-nucleotide transfer RNA is filed under the name Candidatus Shapirobacteria bacterium CG_4_9_14_3_um_filter_39_13. Its description in RNAcentral is "tRNA-Leu". It matches the Rfam family "tRNA". From Rfam's summary of the family: Transfer RNA (tRNA) molecules are approximately 80 nucleotides in length. Their secondary structure includes four short double-helical elements and three loops (D, anti-codon, and T loops). Further hydrogen bonds mediate the characteristic L-shaped molecular structure. tRNAs have two regions of fundamental functional importance: the anti-codon, which is responsible for specific mRNA codon recognition, and the 3' end, to which the tRNAs corresponding amino acid is attached (by aminoacyl-tRNA synthetases). tRNAs cope with the degeneracy of the genetic code in two manners: having more than one tRNA (with a specific anti-codon) for a particular amino acid; and 'wobble' base-pairing, i.e. permitting non-standard base-pairing at the 3rd anti-codon position. The record is from RNAcentral. Lineage: Bacteria; Candidatus Shapironibacteriota. RNAcentral also lists the same sequence under 2 other names.